GACGGAGGAUGCAAGCGUUAUCCGGAAUGAUUGGGCGUAAAGCGUGCGCAGGUGGCAGUUCAAGUCUGCUGUGAAAGACCAGGGCUCAACCUCGGAAGGGCAGUGGAAACUGGACAGCUAGAGUAUGGAAGGGGCAAAGGGAAUUCCUGGUGUAGCGGUGAAAUGCGUAGAGAUCAGGAAGAACAUCGGUGGCGAAGGCGCUUUGCUGGACUAUAACUGACGCUCAUGUACGAAAGCUAGGGGAUCAAAAGGG
RNAcentral lists this ribosomal RNA (253 nucleotides) under uncultured bacterium. Its description in RNAcentral is "partial 16S ribosomal RNA". It matches the Rfam family "Bacterial small subunit ribosomal RNA", at positions 524 to 776 of the family's 1533-position model. The record is from RNAcentral.